GUGUUGAAUGAAAGGAGAGAAGGUUAUCACUCCCCUUGGCAAGGGUGGAAGAGGCCCUUGGGUCUGACAACACGCAUGCGUUUAAGGCAUUGCCACCUACUUUGUGGCAUCUACCAUCGUUUUCU
Molecule: small nuclear RNA, 125 nt
Organism: Dipodomys ordii (Ord's kangaroo rat)
Lineage: Eukaryota; Metazoa; Chordata; Mammalia; Rodentia; Heteromyidae
Source: Ensembl